Molecule: ribosomal RNA, 301 nt
Filed under: uncultured bacterium
Lineage: Bacteria
Description: partial 16S ribosomal RNA
Rfam family: Bacterial small subunit ribosomal RNA
Source: RNAcentral
CAGCCGCCGCGGGAAAACGAAGGGGGCUAGCGUUAAUCGGAAUUACUGGGCGUAAGGCGCACGCAGGUGGUGGUUUAAGUCCGUUGUGAAAGCCCUGGGCUCAACCUGGGAAUUGCAGUGGAUACUGGGUCACUAGAGUGUGGUAGAGGAUAGUGGAAUUUCCGGUGUAGCAGUGAAAUGCGUAGAGAUCGGAAGGAACAUCUGUGGCGAAGGCGACUAUCUGGGCCAACACUGACACUGAGGCACGAAAGCGUGGGGAGCAAACAGGAUUAGAUACCCGCGUAGUCCCUGUCUCUUAUAC